Molecule: long non-coding RNA, 438 nt
Organism: Cebus imitator (Panamanian white-faced capuchin)
Lineage: Eukaryota; Metazoa; Chordata; Mammalia; Primates; Cebidae
Exons: 2
Source: RefSeq, a predicted model, not a curated record
CUUUUGUAAGCAACUAUAAAUAUGAAGUUUUUUUUAAUCUUCAAAAAGAUUCAUGGAAAGGACUCUGACACACACAGGUUUCUGAUGACUUCAAGAUCAUACCACUGGGCCGGAAAUGUCUCUUAUUAAUUACUAGAGACCGAACUUUGAUGAGAACUCACCUACAAUAUCUCCUGAAAUGAGACACAACUGCUUAAUUGAAUUGACCUUUUUUCAGCAUUAAUGAUUUGAUACAGGGCAAUGUACUUAAAUGUGCUCAUUUGUACUUGUUCCAAUCUAUGUUUUUUUCUUCCUUUGCCAGUCUCUUAUCUCACAAUCUCUCUCUAAUCAAAAUAUCUUCUUCAAAGUUACCAACAUGGAGAGUUCUAAGCCACCAUUUGUGUUGCGGUUUCUCCCACAUUGUGUGCUGCACAUAUUACUAAACUUGUUUUUCUCUUA